ACGACAUCUGGAAUUAGAGUUGAAUUGGAGCACGGUAAACGAACUAACAUGGUAAAUACACUGAAGUACAAAACAAAAGAGAAAUCAUACAUUGCACAAAACAUGGUGGAAAAAGACGAGGUGUGUAUGAGGUGUGUAUGAGGUGUGUAUGAGGUGUGUAUGUGGUGUGUAUGAGGUGUGUAUGAGGUGUGUAUGAGGUGUGUAUGAGGUGUGUAUGAGGUGUGUAUGAGGUGUGUAUGUGGUGUGUAUGUGGUGUGUAUGAGGUGUGUAUGUGGUGUGUAUGAGGAGUGUAUGAGGUGUGUAUGUGGUGUGUAUGAGGUGUGUAUGAGGUGUGUAUGAGGAGUGUAUGUGGUGUGUAUGAGGUGUGUAUGUGGUGUGUAUGAGGUGUGUAUGAGGUGUGUAUGAGGUGUGUAUGAGGAGUGUAUGAGGUGUGUAUGAGGUGUGUAUGUGGUGUGUAUGAGGAGUGUAUGUGGUGUGUAUGAGGUGUGUAUGUGGUGUGUAUGAGGUGUGUAUGUGGUGUGUAUGAGGUGUGUAUGAGUUGUGUAUGAGGAGUGUAUGUGGUGUGUAUGAGGAGUGUAUGUGGUGUGUAUGAGGUGUGUAUGUGGUGUGUAUGAGGUGUGUAUGUGGUGUGUAUGAGGUGUGUAUGAGGUGUGUAUGAGGUGUGUAUGAGGAGUGUAUGAGGUGUGUAUGAGGACACAUGAGAGUUGAGUCUUGUGUUUUAAUGCCUUUAAAUUCCCAUCACUGUGGCUGUAGUCGUAGAUUUCAAUAUGAAGU
Ictalurus punctatus (channel catfish) is the source of this 774-nucleotide long non-coding RNA. The record is from Ensembl. NCBI's taxonomy places the organism in Eukaryota, Metazoa, Chordata, Actinopteri, Siluriformes, Ictaluridae.